Molecule: ribosomal RNA, 253 nt
Filed under: uncultured bacterium
Lineage: Bacteria
Description: partial 16S ribosomal RNA
Rfam family: Bacterial small subunit ribosomal RNA
Source: RNAcentral
UACAUAGACCUCGAGCGUUAUCCGGAUUUACUGGGCGUAAAGCGUGCGUAGGUGUCUUUCUAAGUCUUCGGUGAAAUCUCCGGGCCCAACUCGGAAACUGUCGAAGAUACUGGGAAGAUUGAGUACGACAGAGGCAGACGGAAUGCUUGGUGUAGCGGUAAAAUGCGUAGAUAUCAAGCAGAACACCGAUGGCGAAGGCAGUCUGCUGGGUCGUCACUGACACUGAGGUACGAAAGCGUGGGUAGCGAACGGG